RNAcentral lists this ribosomal RNA (497 nucleotides) under uncultured bacterium. RNAcentral's name for it is "partial 16S ribosomal RNA". It matches the Rfam family "Bacterial small subunit ribosomal RNA", at positions 28 to 507 of the family's 1533-position model. The record is from RNAcentral.
GACGAACGCUGGCGGCGUGCCUAAUACAUGCAAGUUGAGCGAUGAAGAUUGGUGCUUGCACCAAUUUGAAGAGCAGCGAACGGGUGAGUAACGCGUGGGGAAUCUGCCUUUGAGCGGGGGACAACAUUUGGAAACGAAUGCUAAUACCGCAUAAUAACUUUAAACUUAAGUUUUAAGUUUGAAAGAUGCAAUUGCAUCACUCAAAGAUGAUCCCGCGUUGUAUUAGCUAGUUGGUGAGGUAAAGGCUCACCAAGGCGAUGAUACAUAGCCGACCUGAGAGGGUGAUCGGCCACAUUGGGACUGAGACACGGCCCAAACUCCUACGGGAGGAAGCAGUAGGGAAUCUUCGGCAAUGGACGAAAGUCUGACCGAGCAACGCCGCGUGAGUGAAGAAGGUUUUCGGAUCGUAAAACUCUGUUGGUAGAGAAGAACGUUGGUGAGAGUGGAAAGCUCAUCAAGUGACGGUAACUACCCAGAAAGGGACGGCUAACUACGUG